GAUGAACGCUGGCGGCGUGCUUAACACCUGCAAGUCGAGCGAAGCGAUUUUAAGGAAGCCUUCGGGUGGAAAUAAAAUUGACUGAGCGGCGGACGGGUGAGUAACGCGUGGGUAACCUGCCUCAUACAGGGGGAUAACAGUUAGAAAUGACUGCUAAUACCGCAUAAGCGCGCAGUGCUGCAUAGCACCGUGUGAAAAACUCCGGUGGUAUGAGAUGGACCAGCGUCUGAUUAGGUAGUUGGUAGGGUAACGGCCUACGAAGCCGACGAUCAGGGGCGGACCUGAGAGGUUGACAGGGACCAUUAGGAAUGCGACACUGACCAAACUCCUCAGGGAGGAUGCAGUGGGGAAUAUUGGACAAUGGCGAAAACCCUGAUCCAGCGCCGCCGCGUGAGUCAAGCAGUAUUACGGUAUGUAAAGCUCUCUUAGCGGGGAAGAAAAUGACAGUACCUAACUAAGAAGCCCCGGCUAACUACGUGCAAGAAGCCGCCGUAA
Molecule: ribosomal RNA, 495 nt
Filed under: uncultured bacterium
Lineage: Bacteria
Description: partial 16S ribosomal RNA
Rfam family: Bacterial small subunit ribosomal RNA
Source: RNAcentral